GGGUCAGUAGGUUGGUCGUGCCACCGGUACGUACUGGUCUCACUGAUUCCUCCUUCCUGAAGAACCGUAAUGCCAUUAAUUUGGUGUUGCGGGGAAACAGGACUGUUACUUUGAAAAAAUUAGAGUGUUUAAAGCAAGCUAACGCUUGAAUACAUUAGCAUGGAAUAAUGAAAUAGGACGAUCGAUCCUAUUUUGUUGGUUUCUAGGAUUGACGUAAUGAUUAAUGGGGAUCGUUGGG
This 238-nucleotide ribosomal RNA is filed under the name Glomeromycotina sp. Its description in RNAcentral is "partial small subunit ribosomal RNA". The stretch from base 40 to 238 matches the Rfam family "Eukaryotic small subunit ribosomal RNA", at positions 686 to 886 of the family's 1831-position model. Lineage: Eukaryota; Fungi; Glomeromycota. The record is from RNAcentral.